ACCUUCGAUUAAGGUUCGACUCGAGCGAAAGCGAGAGAACGUUGCCAACGGCAACGGCCCGAAGGGUGAGGAGCGAAGCGACGAAUAAUCCUUCCCCCACCACCA
RNAcentral lists this small RNA (105 nucleotides) under Citrobacter freundii. RNAcentral describes it as "partial RtT sRNA". It matches the Rfam family "RtT RNA", at positions 28 to 130 of the family's 130-position model. From Rfam's summary of the family: This family represents a bacterial cis-regulatory element known as RtT RNA. The exact function of RtT is unknown although it is thought that it may be involved in changing the cellular response in relation to amino acid starvation. Lineage: Bacteria; Pseudomonadati; Pseudomonadota; Gammaproteobacteria; Enterobacterales; Enterobacteriaceae. The record is from RNAcentral.